GACGAACGCUGGCGGCGUGCUUAACACAUGCAAGUCGAACGAUGAAGCAAAGACUUGAAGCUUCGGCAGAAAUUCAUUUCGGAUUAGUGGCAGACGGGUGAGUAACGCGUGAUCAACCUACCUCUUACAAAGGGAUAGCCUCGGUAAACCGGGAUUAAUACCAUAUAACAUUGCGACGAAGCAUUUCGAUUCAAUCAAAGCUACGGCGGUAAGAGAUGUGCUCGCGUCCCCUUAACCAGAUGGUGAGGUAACGGCUCACCAUAGUAACGAUGGGUAACCGGGAUGAGAGGGAGAACGGUGACACUGGAACGGAGACACGGUCGAGAAUCCUACGGGAGGCAGGAGAGGGGAAUAUUGCAAAAUGGAGGGAACGCUGAUGCAGCGACGCCGGGAGAGUGAUGAAGGAAGUCGUGAAGUAAAACUCUGUUAUAUGGGAAGAAAAGGACGGUACCAUAGGAGAAAGCUCCGGCUAAAUACGUG
Molecule: ribosomal RNA, 480 nt
Filed under: uncultured bacterium
Lineage: Bacteria
Description: partial 16S ribosomal RNA
Rfam family: Bacterial small subunit ribosomal RNA
Source: RNAcentral